Long non-coding RNA from Gallus gallus (chicken), 1733 nucleotides. The record is from Ensembl. Lineage: Eukaryota; Metazoa; Chordata; Aves; Galliformes; Phasianidae.
UAAAGGCAUCUCUUUGGAGGUCCCUGCCUUCUGGACGCCUUCUGAAGAUUACGUAUGGAUGUUGAGCAUGGAAGGCCUUUACUCCACAAUUAAAACGGUUCAGCAUUUGGAAGCUCCAUCUCCCUGAGUAAAUAAGAGCACUACAACUACUGCCUACGCUGUGACAGAACAAAAAGUCCUUUGGCCCAGAUAUUACGUGUGAAUGAAAAGAACAGCUGUGACCUCCCUCGUACUUUGAAAGGGCUCUGACAAACACAAACAAAUUCAACUUAACAAAAAAAAAGUCUUGAGUUCAUUCAUUUUGCAUGUGUAAGGACCUGCAGAAUUAAUUAUUACAUUCAAGACUAAUCGUGAAAGAGCAGCUAAGGCCUCUGAACUCAGCUGGAGACGGAGGCUGCUUCCUCCCUACCCAACAUCACUGUGCUGAUCAUGUCCUUCUGCAGGGCAGCUGCACUCAGCUUCUGCUGAACUGCGUGCUCAAUAUGGGAUGUGGAAGAGAUGAAACUAUGGGUGCUGGGAGAGGAGUCUGGACAUAAGAAAUAAUGUCAUCAAUAUUCUGUUGGGGAGGGAGAUAAGAAAGGAAAAUGAAGUAAUUAAUUCAUAAUUUACUGACACAUUUUUCUUGGCCUGUGGAAUUUUAAUGAUCUCUGUCUUUUGGUCUUCUUCCACAAACUCUCUCCACUGUCCAGGCUUUCCCAUGUGUCAAAUGACCCAAAUACUUCAACAUUUCCUGAACUGCGCUCCCAAUGACGGACAGGAUAAGACAGGACAGGAGAGGACACAGCAGAGGGCUGGAAUGACCUACGGUGUCCUGUACUUUGUUCUUGAAAUGAGCAGAGUAACCUCCCUCAAAGCACCUACUAUGAAAUCUGCAGUCCAUGACAAGGUUCCAAGGCCUGGCAAGAUAGCUGAGUCAGCAGAGCGUGCCCACCUUGAGUCUAUAAUAUCAGCAGGCACAUCAGCUUAAUGCUCAAAAGAAUAGCAUGAAUGCAUUUCUCCAGCCUUGAGAAAGUGCAUCAAAUCUGUGCAAUUUUCCCCUACGUUCUCCAAACAGUUACGUAAAACCAGCCCAUAUUUCCCUCUUGCUGUGGGGUGAAUAUAAUUCCCUCUCUGAAAAAAUUCUGCAUCUGAAAUAAGAUGUUAAUUUGCAGGAAUGAUUAAUAGUUCUGCUGACUGCUAAAAAUCCAGUUAGAGCAGUUAGGGCAUGAUGGCUUUACAGGAGCGGGAUACAGUUUAUUUGAUUUUCUGUAACUGAGUGUCCUCAGCUGAACCUACCAACCCUUCGCUGUGCAAGGAUUGUAACUCCCGCUGCAGUUGGAUCAGCCUCCAUUUCUAUUUUUAGUGCAGAUCUUGCUCCUUAUUUAGUCCUGAUUGCACAGCCAGAACUGCGUUCUCAGCAGCUCAGUGAAAAGCCUGCCUGUUCCAUUUUAUAACUUUUCCAGACAAAAAGAUGGGAAGCCUGCAGCUUUCCAAACACUCUUAUUUUUAAGAGCUUGCAAUACGAUACAGCCCAAAACCCAAGGGCUGAAUGAAUCCCUGCUGAAAUACUAUUGGAUUUUCUGGAGUUUUAUUCAGCAUUAAUUUGGCUGCUAGUAAGAUGCUUGGGAUAUUAAAACAUUAAAAAAAACAAACAAACCUAACCCUCCCACCUCCUCUCUUCCCCCCCCCCCCAAAAAAAACCCAAACAACCAACAAAAAGCAAAAAAGAAAAGCUCCUUCUUCACCAUAAGUAC